Molecule: ribosomal RNA, 161 nt
Filed under: Lilium medeoloides
Lineage: Eukaryota; Viridiplantae; Streptophyta; Magnoliopsida; Liliales; Liliaceae
Description: 5.8S ribosomal RNA
Rfam family: 5.8S ribosomal RNA
About the family: 5.8S ribosomal RNA (5.8S rRNA) is a component of the large subunit of the eukaryotic ribosome. It is transcribed by RNA polymerase I as part of the 45S precursor that also contains 18S and 28S rRNA. Functionally, it is thought that 5.8S rRNA may be involved in ribosome translocation.
Source: RNAcentral
UAUAUGACUCUCGGCAACGGAUAUCUCGGCUCUCGCAUCGAUGAAGAACGUAGAGAAAUGCGAACUUGGUGUGAAUUGCAGAAUCCCGUGAACCAUCGAGUCUUUAACGCAAGUUGCGCCCGAGGCUUUCGGUUGAGGGCACGCCUUCCUGGGCGUCACGC